This 466-nucleotide ribosomal RNA is filed under the name uncultured bacterium. RNAcentral's name for it is "partial 16S ribosomal RNA". It matches the Rfam family "Bacterial small subunit ribosomal RNA", at positions 28 to 507 of the family's 1533-position model. The record is from RNAcentral.
GAUGAACGCUGGCGGCGUGCUUAACACAUGCAAGUCGAACGGAAAGGCCCAAGCUUGCUUGGGUACUCGAGUGGCGAACGGGUGAGUAACACGUGGGUGAUCUGCCCUGCACUUCGGGAUAAGCCUGGGAAACUGGGUCUAAUACCGGAUAGGACCACAUUUUGGAUGGUGUGGUGGAAAGUUUUUCGGUGUGGGAUGAGCUCGCGGCCUAUCAGCUUGUUGGUGGGGUAAUGGCCUACCAAGGCGUCGACGGGUAGCCGGCCUGAGAGGGUGUACGGCCACAUUGGGACUGAGAUACGGCCCAGACUCCUACGGGAGGCAGCAGGGGGGAAUAUUGCACAAUGGGCGCAAGCCUGAUGCAGCGACGCCGCGUGGGGGAUGACGGCCUUCGGGUUGGAAACUCCUUUCGCUAGGGACGAAGCGUUAUGUGACGGUACCUGGAGAAGAAGCACCGGCUAACUACGUG